GAAAUGCGAUAAGUAAUGUGAAUUGCAGAAUUCAGUGAAUCAUCGAAUCUUUGAACGCACAUUGCGCCCGCCAGUAUUCUGGCGGGCAUGCCUGUUUGAGCGUCAUUACAACCCUCAGGCCCCCGGGCCUGGCGUUGGGGAUCGGCGGAAGCCCCCUGCGGGCACAACGCCGUCCCCCAAAUACAGUGGCGGUCCCGCCGCAGCUUCCAUUGCGUAGUAGCUAACACCUCGCAACUGGAGAGCGGCGCGGCCACGCCGUAAAACACCCAACUUCUGAAUGUUGACCUCGAAUCAGGUAGGAAUACCCGCUGAACUUAAGC
Molecule: unclassified non-coding RNA, 320 nt
Filed under: plant metagenome
Description: partial contains 5.8S ribosomal RNA, internal transcribed spacer 2, and large subunit ribosomal RNA
Rfam family: 5.8S ribosomal RNA (bases 1-105)
Source: RNAcentral